Molecule: small RNA, 571 nt
Filed under: Pan troglodytes (chimpanzee)
Lineage: Eukaryota; Metazoa; Chordata; Mammalia; Primates; Hominidae
Description: processed transcript
Source: RNAcentral
CACACCCUCAUCUUCCAGCAGUGAGGGUAGACUAUUAAGGCUCUCAUGUCAUCAAGGAUCAAGGCAAUGGAUUAAUGGAGACUCUAGACAUUUGUUUCCUCACCAGUGAAAAUUAAAUGAAGACCCAGGAAUCACUACAGCUAUGGGGAUGAGAAGGACAUUUCAGCAGCUAGAGUGUGGUGAAAUGGCCCAAGGAGAAGAGUACAAAGCAACAUAAUGGCAGAGAUGAUGUUCAGAUCUCCAGAUAUUGUGUCCCUGUCUCAGAGUCGCCAACAGAACUUAAUUUUUCAUUUCCUUUUGACAAGUGAUGAGCUUGGCAUUAUUUACUCAGGAGAAAAAAGUAUAGGAAACUAAAGAAAAUACUGAAGAUAAUCUCAAAUGGUGACAAUCUUUUUCAAUCUCAUCUACACUUCAAUUUUGGAAUAGUCUAUAAUAUUUGAGAAUUAACAGAAAUAUUGCAAGAUAAAAGCUAGCAACUGUUAUGUAAAAGUAUCCAUUUUCCAUGGAUUCCCGCUAAAAGACUAACAGUUACUAAAUCAUCCCCACAAGCCAACUGCUUUUAAAAAGACCU